UACGUAGGGAGCAAGCGUUGUCCGGAAUCAUUGGGCGUAAAGCGCGCGUAGGCGGCCUCAUAAGUCCGUUGUGAAAGUCAAAGGCUCAACCUUUGAAAGCCGAUGGAUACUGUGAGGCUAGAGUCCGGAAGAGGCGAGUGGAAUUCCUGGUGUAGCGGUGGAAUGCGCAGAUAUCAGGAGGAAUACCGGUGGCGAAAGCGACUCUCUGGACGGCAACUGACGCUGAGGCACGAAAGCGUGGGGAGCAAACAGG
This 253-nucleotide ribosomal RNA is filed under the name uncultured bacterium. RNAcentral describes it as "partial 16S ribosomal RNA". It matches the Rfam family "Bacterial small subunit ribosomal RNA", at positions 524 to 776 of the family's 1533-position model. The record is from RNAcentral.